AGCUCCAAUAGCGUAUAUUAAAGUUGUUGCAGUUAAAAAGCUCGUAGUUGGAUUUGGGACGGGGGUCGCGCGGUCGGCCGCAAGGUCUGCUACUGUGCGGCCUCGUCAUUUACACUCUCGGAGACCCGUCGUGCACUUCGCUGUGCGCGGCGCGGGACUCGGGACGUUUACUUUGAAAAAAUUAGAGUGUUCAAGGCAGGCUCUGGCCUGAAUACAUUAGCAUGGAAUAAUGGAAGAGGACCUCGGUCCUAUUUUGUUGGUUUCUGGGGCCGAAGUAAUGAUUAAGAGGGACAGUUGGGGGCAUUCGUAUUUAAUUGUCAGAGGUGAAAUUCUCGGAUUUAUGAAAGACGAACAACUGCGAAAGCAUUUGCCAAGGAUGUUUUCAUUAAUCAAGAACGAA
RNAcentral lists this ribosomal RNA (400 nucleotides) under phytoplankton environmental sample. Its description in RNAcentral is "partial small subunit ribosomal RNA". It matches the Rfam family "Eukaryotic small subunit ribosomal RNA", at positions 587 to 987 of the family's 1831-position model. The record is from RNAcentral.